UAUAUAUAAAUAAAUAAAUGUUUCGCAUUUUUAGUGUAGGUAGAUCUCUUCGACUGGUCAUGUUAAUAGUAGCUCGCAAGUCAAAAAAGUGUGGGCACCCCUGAUAUAUAGCAUUAGUAAUAACUAAAAAAACGGUGUAAUUACCAGUCUUGCCUCCCCACAAAGUCUGUAGGUUUGUGCUGUGUUUGUAUGUGUGAUCUGAGCGCCAUCCGGUGGACAGACGACAUUUUUAUUUGAUACUCGCGCCAUUUUUGCGUUGUGUAUGGGCGCAACCAAGUGCAUAAUUGGAGGGGGGCACUCACCCAUUUUCCUUAACAAACGGAAAUAUAUUAAAAAUGAGUAGACGUAAAUAAAUAGAAUAGAUGAAAAGACAGAUCAGUUUGAAAGGUUCAUUAAAGGGGGACAUAUAGAAAACAUUUUCUACUGUAUAUUGGGAGGGAAAGAUUGGUAUUACCUCAACAUUGGCGGGGACACGCCCCCCCCUCAAAAAGAAUACGUGGUUACGCCCAUAGUUGUAGGAGACACAGCAGCGACGGAGUCGGAGUAGGAGACACAUUUUUCCUCAGGAGUCACGACACAGCAGACACGGGGUUUUCUUUCUUCAAUUUUAACUUUUCUCAGGAGUUUAAGUCAUCUGGUGGGCGUGGUUGAGUGCGCAGGUGCGUCAUUCAAACCGAGCGAGAUGACCGUUGAGGAUCAGACAGCGCGAGACAGCUCCUUUCAGGGUGGUUCCUACUAGGUCUGCUAAUGGGACCGCCCUCCUGACUGGCUGCCUAUAAAGUCACCCGCUCUAGCGGUGCUGAGCAGCGAGAUGUCACAGAGAAGAGUGUGUCCAGUUUGUCGGCGUUUCUACACCAACGUGCAGGCUCAUCUCGCCCAGAUUCAUCAGCAGGGUCCAGAGGAACGCUGGCUUCACCUGGCGGCAGCGAGCGAGCGGGUGAUAUGCGGGUGCUCUGGACUGCCCGGUGUCUGCAUGUGGCAAGAAAGGUUUCCGCCGGCUAGACUGCCACCUGUUCCACCUUCACCAGCUCGCCGGGGACACGGUCAGGAAGCUACUGCUCAGCGCCAAAAUAAAGCUGCAACAACUGCAAGCUUUCGGUGAGACGAACAAAUCUAAAAGUUGCAAAUGUUCUGAACUGAUCGAAAAGUAGCAAAACUCUCCGCAGAAUUUGAGCGGCUGCAAGCGAUAGUAGCCCGGAAAGAGUAGUGGCUCUGUGGAGCCAAUGUUAAGUGUACACGGCUUGGCUGACAAGUCUCAGAGAUGUCCCCAAAGCCGCGGCCAACGGCAAGCAGGAGAGGAGACACGUCGAGCGCUUCCUUCACUUUAUGUGGGCCAACACAGACAGUCCCCUGGCAGCUGCUGGCUCAUUACCCAAAAACACUUAAAAUUUAACAUAGAAGCCAAUACUCACAUCAACCUCUGAACCCAGUUGGAGAUAGAAAAAAAGACACCAGCCGUGAGUGAGAAGAAGCAAGGGUCCAGAUUUAUUGUUCCGUUCCACCACACGAGAUCCACACCGAUGAGAAUUCUCAGAAGUGAUCUGAUACCCUGAGCUUAAGCUCCAGUAUUUAUACUGUAAUUACACAGUAAAUAACCCAUAUGUUUCAAGAAGACUAUGAUAUCAAUACCAAUAGGGUUAAAAAAGAGCUAUUCAACUUACCAUUAGCUCAAAAAACAGGGCUUUUCAACUUACAAAUAUAAUCAAAACCAAGGGUUUUCAAAUAACCAUUAGCUUCAAAAGUGGAGAGAUAAAACAAUCUAGAGUGACCUUGGUCUUACUAUUAUCUCGCUGGGGGGGGGCAGCUUGACUCAGCUACCCUUAUAAAUGGCUCCUCAUGGUUUUCUCUUAAAAUUAAGGCCUUCCUUGCGAGACAAGAAUCUUCACCAUCUGAAUUAUGAGUAAGUUACAUUUUCCUGUAUUUCUAGUUUAUAAUUUAUUUUCAUAUUUGCUCUAUAUCUCUAUUUUAUAUAUAGUUAUACUGCUUGAAAAACGAUUUACUGUACUUCCUACUUCAUAAAAUCAUUAUAUUACCCUUCUACUGUCCUACAUAUCCUACUAUUCUGUAUUUUAUAGAGUUUUCUAUUAUUAUAAGAUAUUACCCUUAUAAUAUCUUAAUACUCCUUUUUAUUAUUCUUAUAAAGUUAUAAUGUUAUAUGUGUGUGUGUGUGUGUGUGUGUAUUAUGUCUACAUGCCCGCCCUUGACUGUACGAGAGUGUGUGUGUGUGUGUGUGUGUGUGUGUGUGUGUGUCUGUGUUAGCACUCCUCAGCUCUUAUACUUCUGUUUGACUCUUCGACUAUUAAACCAUAGUGUAGUACUCUUAAAGAUCUUUAAAGUGGAAAUCCAAUUUGUCAAUAUCUGCCUAAUACCGCUUCUGUAUGUCUAGGUGCCCAUCGUCAUUCCUUCUUCUCCCCUUUACUGGAUCUGGAUCUGGACACUCAUUAUCAGCUUGCGCAUCUAACUGCUGAUAUCAUGGUGCUACUUAACUAUCUUCGCAGCACCCCCUCUGGAAAUGGAAAUGCGGGGUCCGUCCGCCCCCCCGAUACAAAAUCUGCCCCGUGAACGUGUGUAUUGACGCCUCUACACAGCCAAAACCCCCCUCCAGCUUUCAAUCUGAGGAAGAUGUCACCUUCUCUGACCUGGUCCCCGACCAUUCUUCCCUCUUCUCACCUACCAGUCCGCCCCGUUCUCAGUGGUCCUCUCACUUCACCUUUGCUGACUUUCCCAUGUUCCCAGGACGCACCCCAUUUUCUUCCCCCCACCACUCUCCUCAAGAUUACGCACCCACCAGUCCUGUGAAUUAUCAAUAAAACUACAUAUUACUCAUACUAAGUGUCCCUCAUGUUUAUUUCAUGUCAUUUUUAUCCACAACACAGCCCACUUGAAGUACAUCGACAAUGUCUCGAGAGUCCUUGAAUGGAUGAAAUCACUGUGCCAGCGGUACAAGGUCACUCCGGCCAAGUUAUUUCUGACGCGUGUUUCCAAGUUCCUCCAUUAACUCGAUGAGUAACUGUCCAAGGGCCGAGUUGGCUCCACGAGGCUGUGGAGUCUCCAGAGACUGCUGCAGUGGGAGUGCAGACAUCUGUCCGGUCGAGUCGUGCUCCACAGGCAAGGCGUGCGAGCGGAGAAGAGUGAGGGAGUACUUACAGCUCCUGCACGGCAAACUGUUGGACGCUGUCCCUGUUUCACUGGCUGAUCUGAACUCGUCCAGCAGACCCGGACAUGCUCAACCAUUGCAUCGGGCUGCUGUGUGCUCACUUCUUUUCGGUCAGCGGACACAGGACCGGAGUCCUGCAGAACCUCACGACUGAGGAGUUUGAGAACCUCGAGAAGGCUGACUCUUUCUGAUCAAUGUGAAGCAGCACAAACCUGCCUCUGCUUUUGGACUCGCUAAGCUAGCCAUCACCAAGCUGGAGCUGAAGUGGCUGAAAGCUUUCUGCCGCCUGAGGAAGCAUAUGCCGGGAUAUGAGACUUCUGUGGGGUGGCUUUUCUUUUCUGGCACACAGGCCAGGAUUUCUGCGCAUGUCAAGCUUGCCCUGCGGGCACUCGUGGGAAGAGACAUCACUGUGUCGGACAUCCGCACAGCUCUAGCAACCUACUGCGAACGCAAAAGACGAACAACGCAUGCUCGUGACCAAGACGAUGUGCUACAGCAAUUUGCUGAGUCGUGGAGCUGUCGGUCAGCGAGGCGCACUCCGCCCAGUCUGCGCUAGAGUCCGCUGCGGGCAUAGGUGCUACAUAGGCCGGUUGUUUUUGGCUAAUGGCCCUGUGUGUGUGUGUGUGUGUGUGUGUGUGUGUGUGUGUGUAAAUAUUUCAUUAAAAUGUUUGAACUGAA
Molecule: long non-coding RNA, 3835 nt
Organism: Ictalurus punctatus (channel catfish)
Lineage: Eukaryota; Metazoa; Chordata; Actinopteri; Siluriformes; Ictaluridae
Exons: 7
Source: RefSeq, a predicted model, not a curated record